RNAcentral lists this non-coding RNA (169 nucleotides) under Bdellovibrionales bacterium. RNAcentral describes it as "6S RNA". It matches the Rfam family "6S / SsrS RNA". From Rfam's summary of the family: E. coli 6S RNA was the first non coding RNA to be sequenced, but its function was unknown until recently. It consists of 184 nucleotides that fold into an extended hairpin structure with a large single-stranded internal bulge. Lineage: Bacteria; Pseudomonadati; Bdellovibrionota; Bdellovibrionia; Bdellovibrionales. The record is from RNAcentral.
GAGUUUCUGUGGAAACUCGUGAAAAAGUAAACCCUACAAGGAUAUAUCAGGGGGCUGUCCCUGGUGAUGGUGAGCAAGCUCAAUACGAUUGAGAAGCCUAAAGUCGCUAACACGGUCACCCACCUUAAUAAGACUGGGUUUAUUGUUCACCGAGAUCCACAGAACUUUU